Molecule: long non-coding RNA, 362 nt
Organism: Melanotaenia boesemani (Boeseman's rainbowfish)
Lineage: Eukaryota; Metazoa; Chordata; Actinopteri; Atheriniformes; Melanotaeniidae
Exons: 2
Source: RefSeq, a predicted model, not a curated record
UUUACUAAAAAUCAAUUAAUUGACUUUUUAACAUUCUUUUUGCUGUAGUACAUCAUUUUUAGCAUGUCCUAUCUACUACAGGUGAGAUUAUUCUGAUAAAGUACUUUAUAUGCCCAUAGUAUGCAUUUAUGACCUGAAAAUAUUCACUAAAAAUCAAUUAAUUGACUUUUUAACAUUCUUUUUGCUGUAGUACAUCAUGUUUAUCAUGUCCUAUCUACUACAGGUGAGAUUAUUCUGAUAAAGUACUUUAUAUGCCCACAGUAUGCAUUUAUGACCUGAAAAUAUUCACUAAAAAUCAAUUAAUUGACCCUUUAGGCCCCCAAACGCGAAGGCCUCCAAAUUUGUAAUCAAUAUGUUAUGAG